This 764-nucleotide long non-coding RNA is filed under the name Erythranthe guttata (spotted monkey flower). RNAcentral describes it as "long non-coding RNA (EGUT_LNC000211)". Lineage: Eukaryota; Viridiplantae; Streptophyta; Magnoliopsida; Lamiales; Phrymaceae. The record is from RNAcentral.
CUCGGGUUUGCCAGAUGCCACGAGCUGCUUGAUCGUGAAGAGGAACGGGACGCGCUCGCCUCCAGGGAGCUGCACCGUAACUGCUGCGUAGUCUAUUCCGUCCUUCUCCUCGAACUUGACUGUACCGUCCUGAGAUACCUCGAAGGGUCCCUCGAUUUCGUCCAGGGUGUAGGUCAAACGGGUCAUGAGCUUGGUCUUCUGGAACUCAGCUGGUGAGUUCUUGCUUACGCCUUCGGCCUUGACGGUGAAUGAGGUUGGCUCGAGGCAGAACUUCUUGGCGGUGUACUUGCCGGAUUUGAAGGCGAAGCUGUCGGAACCACCGUCUAGGGUGGGGCACUGGUUGGCUGUUCCGGUUCCCUUCACUUCCAUGUAGGUCUUGCUCUGGAUUUCGUCGAAGGUUAGCCUUUUCGGAACUCCUUCAGCACUUGCUCCCUACCCAAAACACAGGUGAAUCUUCAUUCAAUUCGUGAUAUAUAUACAUUUAUUAUCAUUUCUCUACAAUAUGAUUAUGAUUUAUGACUAAUCUCUAGUUAAUUUAAGUUGCAGCUAUUUGAAUUUGAAGCUAUUAAAUGAACAUGAAAGAAUAUUGGAGAUACCGAGGCAACGAGUGCAGAAGUGGCGAGAGCGAAGCCGGCAAUCUUGGCGGCAUCGGUGCAUUUCUGGGCCAAGUCUUUGAGAUCGGACUGAAGAGAGCAGGUGAGCCUUGAACCGGCCGGUUCGAAGCCGAAUGACCUGCUGACGUUUUGAGCUGAUCGGAGCUGUAG